RNAcentral lists this ribosomal RNA (253 nucleotides) under uncultured bacterium. RNAcentral describes it as "partial 16S ribosomal RNA". It matches the Rfam family "Bacterial small subunit ribosomal RNA", at positions 524 to 776 of the family's 1533-position model. The record is from RNAcentral.
UACGGAGGGUGCAAACGUUGCUCGGAAUCAUUGGGCGUAAAGCGAACGUAGGCGGCUAUGUAAGUCGGGUGUGAAAGCCCUCGGCUCAACCGAGGAAGUGCAUUCGAAACUGCAUGGCUUGAGUAUCGGAGAGGAUAGCGGAAUUCCCGGUGUAGAGGUGAAAUUCGUAGAUAUCGGGAGGAACACCAGUGGCGAAGGCGGCUAUCUGGACGAAUUCUGACGCUGAAGUUCGAAAGCGUGGGGAGCAAACAGG